UACGGGGGGGGCAAGCGUUGUUCGGAAUUACUGGGCGUAAAGGGCUCGUAGGUGGCCAACUAAGUCAGACGUGAAAGCCCCGGGCUUACCCCGGGAAGUGCGUUGGAAACUGCGGAGCUAGAGUCCCGGAGAGGGAGGUGGAAUUCCAGGUGUAGCGGUGAAAUGCGUAGAUAUCUGGAGGAAUACCGGUGGCGAAGGCGGCAUCCUGGACCGAGAUUGACACUGAUGAGCGAAAGCUAGGGGAGCAAACGGG
Molecule: ribosomal RNA, 253 nt
Filed under: uncultured bacterium
Lineage: Bacteria
Description: partial 16S ribosomal RNA
Rfam family: Bacterial small subunit ribosomal RNA
Source: RNAcentral